UACGUAGGGUGCAAGCGUUGUCCGGAAUUAUUGGGCGUAAAGAGCUCGUAGGCGGUUUGUCGCGUCUGCUGUGAAAACCCGAGGCUCAACCCCGGGCCUGCAGUCGAUACGGGCAGACUAGAGUGCGGUAGGGGAGACUGGAAUUCCUGGUGUAGCGGUGAAAUGCGCAGAUAUCAGGAGGAACACCGGUGGCGAAGGCGGGUCUCUGGGCCGUAACUGACGCUGAGGAGCGAAAGCGUGGGGAGCGAACAGG
RNAcentral lists this ribosomal RNA (253 nucleotides) under uncultured bacterium. Its description in RNAcentral is "partial 16S ribosomal RNA". It matches the Rfam family "Bacterial small subunit ribosomal RNA", at positions 524 to 776 of the family's 1533-position model. The record is from RNAcentral.